Molecule: long non-coding RNA, 1601 nt
Organism: Mytilus californianus (California mussel)
Lineage: Eukaryota; Metazoa; Mollusca; Bivalvia; Mytilida; Mytilidae
Exons: 2
Source: RefSeq, a predicted model, not a curated record
AGAUAACUAGUGUCUUGCAAACAACAAAAUUAAACAGCACAUCAGACAGAGCUUUUGAUGACAUUGUUUCUGAAGUUAUAAACUUUAUCAAUGAUCUACCAGACACACCUAGAACCAGAGAAAAAGUAUGAACAAGGUUCAGAAAAAGAAUGUACAAUCAAAAAGGAUACGAAAAAAACAAUAUAUGCUGAUGAUACAAUAUUACUGGCAGAAUCAGCUGACGAUUUACAAAGAAUGUUAAACAAGUUUGAUGAAUACUGUACUAACUGGAAACUAAAUGAAAACAUUGAUAAGACAAAAGUAAUGGUGUUUGAGAAGGCGAAGCAUCAAAGAAAUCUGAGAUUUAUGUUAAGAGGCGAGGAGUUACAGCUCACGGACAGUUAUAAUUAUCUGGGAUUAUUAAUAAGUUACAAUUGUAAUUUUAAUCUACCAAAGAAAAAACUGGUUGAAAAGUCACAAAAAGCACUGUACGCAUUAUACUACAAGUUAAGAAAUGUAAACAUUCCUUCAGAUCUGCAGUUUCGACUAUUUGAUUGUAUGGUCUCUCCAAUUUUACUUUAUGGCUCGGAAAUAUGGGGUCAUGAGAAUGUUGAAAUGAUUGAAAAGGUGCACUUAAGUUUCCUGAAGAGGGUCUUGAAUGUAAGAUCAACAACACCAAAUUAUAUGGUCUAUGGGGAAACUGGCAGAUUUCCGUUAAUAAUUAAUAUUUAAACUAAAUUACUUUGUUUUUGGUCAAGGUUAGUGCAAAGCGGUAGUAGCAAAUUAUCCGGGAUUUUGUAUCAGUUCGUGUAUAACUUCCAUAAUUCAGGUCAAUACUCAUUUAAAUGGUUAUCUUCUCUGAAAAAAAUAUUAGAUGAUACAGGAUUUUCCUUUGUCUGGAAUGCACACGGUGUUAUCAAAAGUUCGGAUAUUAAAAAAGAAAUAAAACAGAGAUUAGUUGACCAAUUCGGACAGCGUCUAUUUGCUGAUAUGACAAACUCGUCAAGAGGUGUGUUUUAUGCGUCAUACAAAACUAUGUUUUGUUUAGAGCAAUAUUUACUCAAUCUUAAAGUGGCUGAUCGUUAUAUCUACAGUAGAUUUAGAUGUUCAAAUAUCAAAAUCCCUAUUGAAGUUGGUCGGUGGAAAAAUACACCACAAGAGGAUCGUAUAUGCUGUCACUGCGAUUCAAAUACAAUUGGUGACGAAUACCCUUAUUUUUUCACAUGUACCAAUGAACAAAUUAUGUCAUUAAGAGAAAGGUAUAUACCUACAUAUUACACAAAAAAUCCUUCCCAAUUAAAAUUCAUAGGUCCAUGUCACACUGUAAUGUGCCAGUUCUAACAAAACUGUGCACGUUUUUAAGACAUUUAGAAAAGAUAUUUUCAUAAUUUAUAUCAUGUUACAAUGUAGUAUUAAAAUAAAAUUUUAUUCACGUUGCAAUUCAAAAUAUUGCAAAAUAAUCAACCAAAUAUGGAAUAUUUCAAUUCUACUGUAUGAUAUCGCUAAUUUAUUUAUUGUGUGUCCUGCUUGCAAAUGUAUAAUUAUGUAAUUGUUAAUGUAUAAUUGUUAUCCUCUAUUAGCACCAUACGUGUGCCUAAGUUGUAAUAAAUUGUCUUGUCUUG